GUCAACAGUUACUUUGCAAGUGUGGAAUAUCCAUAUACCUCUUGUGAGUUGUGACCAGUGUGAGCGGCCCCACCGCAAUAGGAUUGGUGGGUGAGCCGGGACCAGCAAAAAAGGAGUCUGGUGCCUUGUCGUGGCUGUGACGUUUCUUCUGACCGUCUGUUGCAUCGGUGCCCCCAACGUCCAGGAACUAAUCCCCGGUCCUAUGUGGUUUUGACCCUAAUUCACUGUGAGUGUGUGGAGUGCAGUGGGUGAGUCCUUUUCUUUGCUGUGUGUACACUUGAAGUCUGCAGUGCCGUGCUGUGUCAUGUUGUCAGUAAUCACCCUCUAGGCUGGGAGAGAAAACCCUGUGGAGAAGAAUGUGCACCGGUGUUGUGAGACGUCCGUCUUUUAUCUACAUGCCCGCUCGUGGCUUUGGACCCCUACUCCGCCGAGUGGUGACGUGUCAACAAUAGCAAGUAAGGAACAGUGUGCAUAUUGUGGGGGACGACGACUGAGAGAAGUGUUGGCUGCUAUAUGAACAUCCAGCUGUGUAGCCCUUGUGUAUGAAUACUGGUUUGUGGAGUGCUUUCAGAGGUUCGCCCCUGUCUAGAUCUCUGGUCCGUUGUCUGGAAGAUAGGAGAGGGAAGCGUUCAAGUCAUUCCUGAGUCCUACAGGUCUGAGCUUGAGGCUCUGAGUCAUCGUGGGAGUGUUUCCACGGUUGGAGGUGACCGUGUUGAGUGUUGGUCUGGGAAGUCUGCCCCGGUGAAGAAGACCACAGUUGCCAUGACAUAUACACCUUCUCUAGACUAGCUGAAAAGUGCUUAAGCCUGACGUCCACCUCUUCUAGGGUCUGUGAGUUGUAUCCAUUCAGUAUUGUCACUGUAUACCCACCUGCAUGCCCAGAGCAAACUCCAGUUCCCCUUUCCAUUCCCUUCACACCUUUUAGAUAAUUUAAAUAAAGUUUGUUUUAACUAUACCCACUCUCUCUCAU
RNAcentral lists this long non-coding RNA (970 nucleotides) under Carassius auratus (goldfish). Its description in RNAcentral is "lncRNA (ENSCARG00000063521.1)". The record is from RNAcentral. Lineage: Eukaryota; Metazoa; Chordata; Actinopteri; Cypriniformes; Cyprinidae.